RNA transcript from Oreochromis aureus, 2449 nucleotides. It is a transcript of the gene named complement C1q tumor necrosis factor-related protein 3-like, with no coding region annotated. The transcript is spliced from 6 exons. The record is from RefSeq and is a predicted model, not a curated record. NCBI's taxonomy places the organism in Eukaryota, Metazoa, Chordata, Actinopteri, Cichliformes, Cichlidae.
UUUGCAGAUAGCACAGUUGUGCACCUUUCGAGACAGUAAGGACAUCGUGUUUCCGAUCUGAUCUGUUUCCAUAAAUCAGAUGGCGACAGAUAAAUAUAAUGACAUUCUUGACCAGCAGAUUCCACUCCAACAGCCUUGUCCAAAGGACAUUCAUGCUGUGCUGAGAGAGAUGACCGCCUUGGUGGCUGAACAGAAGGUGAAGAUCACAUUUCUAGAAAAAGAGAAUCAAGACAAUGUUGCAAAGCUGAAGGAACUGGAGAAAAAGGAGACAGAGAUUGACAAGCUGAAGCAGCAGCUACAAGACCAGGUAGCAAAACUGGAAGAACUGGAGAGGCAGACAAAGGAGAUUCAUGACAUAAAACAACAGCUACAAGUCAAACGGGUGGCUUUCUCAGCCUCUUUGUUGGAUAAAGGUGAUGGCCACACUGGACCAUUUAACGCCCACACCACCCUCAUCUUCAAACGUGUUUUCACAAACAUAGGGAAUGCCUACAACCCACACACAGAUCAGCUGCACUGGAUCAUCACCAGCUUGGAUCUUCAUCCUUUUUCACUCAGUCAAGUCUUUCCUUUUGUUGGCCGUUCCUCUGUACCAGAAAACCAAAGUGUGUCAUCACAGCUAAAAUAAGGGAGAUUUUUCCACUUUAAAGUGCUUCAAUUAGUGAUAGCUGUUGAUCCACACAUCAAAUCAUCUCUAAGGAUCUGAAUGUUGAAGACAAAUACACAAAUACCUCUGCUUAUUAUGAGGCUAAAAGCUUGAUAUAGACAUAACAGUUUAUAAUAUGUCAGUAGCAUAUAACAGCCCUGCACACCAGCACUAUGCUUAUAUUAGACUUUAAUCAACAUAUAGUUAUGAUUUCAUCACAUUAGCUCACAAAAACAUUCCACUAAUGUAACCUUAUUGUUUUAUUGACAUAUUGGAUUUGUAUAUGGUGUGUUUGGAUAAAUGAUGUAUCACACUGUGAGGUGUCCUGCAAAACAAACUAACACACUAACUUUGUGUUCUUCAAAUACUGAGGAGUUUUUGUUGGGUUACCAGGUUAGCUUGUGUUGGCUUUUUUAUAUGAGAGAGAAGACAAAUACGCUCCAAUGAUACGUUUUCACACUUUAUGAUCAAACAGAAUUUCAGAUGAGUUUUCCACGGCUCCAUGGACCUCCAUCUAUCUGGCUCCAAGACAAAGGCUGCCUCACCCAGGCAGGAAACACUUUUACUGCAUGUGGUAAAAACUGAAUGUUAACGUGAUCGCUCAACAGCUGGAGGAAAGCCUUUAGACCCAUGUACGGCUCACGUUUCAUCUCCUGCACCUUUCCCACAUCUCCCUACAUGGAGAUGUUGUUUCUCAUAUCACCGUGGCAACCGUCUCUGGUCCUCUGGUCAGGCCUAUAGAGUUAGAGAAGGGGGUGUGUCCUAACAGCUGAAUUUAUAGGCCUGUUUUUCUCUGGGAGAGUCAGUCUCAAAGGUUUGGACUUUCUGGUGUCAUCCCGAGUCCAGGCAGACCAUCUUCAGAGAAGACAGCUUCUCUUUGUUUCUGUCUUUUAGUAUCUGAGUGUAGCAGUCCAAAUCCAAAACCAUACUACGAUGCACAUCUGUCCGCAACAAAACACAAAUAUGUGACACAAACCACGAGGCAGCUAUGCAAUAUAAAAUAAUGGGGCUACAUGAGCCUUAAAGUGUUUAGUAAAGCGCUGUGUUGGACUGGUGCUCAUGGCCAGAGUUAAGUUACAUCAAGUGUAGCAGAGAUUUGCUGCAUUUCAGCUGAUAAUGCUUAGAUUGAUUCACUCAGUUCAAUCUAUAUACCAACGUUCUCCUGUCUAGUAUAAAGAUUUGAUAGUGUGCUGUCAGAGUAGGGGAUGGAAAUCAGCCAAGGUAGCUUGUGAAACAUCUGUUUCCAUCUUGUUGAGUUCAGCUUUUUAAAUGAACAAAGAGCAGCAGGUCAGCUGAUCACAGCCUGUACAGAAGCUCACAUUAGAAAUCAUUGUGAGCUGUGAUUCAACUCCAUGCUGAGGCACUACAAAAGGUCUGUUUGUGUACACAUGAAACCUCCACAUGUGAGCCUCUGUGAGGCAGUUAGCUGGAAGGCUUCAAAGCCUGAUGAAACUUUAUCUCACCAUCACAGGCGGAAACACAAACUCACUCACAAUGAGCACAGUGUUUCCAGACCAAUGUAAUUGAUUACUUUUCUGUGAUUAUUAUUAUUUUUGAGUCUGCUAAAUGUCUUUAAUAAAAUCUCCUGCAGUUAAAUUGUGAACGUUCCCUUUUGAACCCUUUGUGAAACAGUAAAGGGAUGAAUGUGAGUAUUAAUGAGUUUUAGUGUAAAUGGCUCUUACAGGUGACUCCAGCCUUUCAAAGUAACAAUCCCUCGAAGCGACUGUCCAGGCCUCUAAAGCCAUCCCAGCUAACAAGUUGGUGAAGCCCUGGCUUUCCAGGAAGCAGCUGAACUAUAAGGAA